This 7814-nucleotide unclassified non-coding RNA is filed under the name Leishmania donovani. Its description in RNAcentral is "gene:LdHU3.32.4350(CDS-product:mitogen-activated_ protein_kinase_putative)". The record is from RNAcentral. Lineage: Eukaryota; Euglenozoa; Kinetoplastea; Trypanosomatida; Trypanosomatidae.
ACAGCGGACACACGGAACCACAUACCCCCCCCCCCCCCCCCCCCGCGCACCUACAGCGGCACACAAUCUGCGUUGGCGCGGCGCUGUGUGUGAUAGUCCCGACUAUGCGUUUGUCGGUGUGUAAUUGUGUUAGUGCCGCCAGACGGAAGUUUACUAUCUUUUUUUUUUCGGGUUUGUCGAGUCUGCUGCCCGUCCUCACUCCGACGGUACCUCCCUUCUCGCUUCUCGAACUUUCUCCACGACAUCAGCGAGCCGUCUAUAAUCACGGAGAGGGACGACGCACAGUCACACAAAAACACAUACAAGCGAAAAGAAGGGCGGCGAGAAAGCAGCACCGUAAACGCUGGCGUGAGGUUGUGUUUUCCUUUUCCUUCUCUUUCUCUAUCCCCUGAGCCGCAUCUCCUCCCUAUUCUCCUCUUCCUCCUCUUGAAGCCUUCCUUCCUUCGUCCUUUUCGUGCUCCUUGACACAGGCAGGCGCUUCCUUUUCUUUUUUUUUGCUUGUUGUUGUUCUGCCUUUAUUUGUCGAGUGGGAGUUGAGCCGCUGCCCCGCUUCUCUUAUCUUCCUCCUUUUCAGCUUUUUCUGUGUACAGCACAUGCUUGCGUGUGGUCUGCGCCUACAGCUUGUGUCACCUCUGCCCGUCCUCUGCGAUUGUCUUCUACCCUCACGUCCCGGCAACUCUUGCCCAGCCGGGAGGACGACGUCUUGCGGUCCGGGUGAGCGACUCGUUAUUUUCUUUCUUCUCCCUUCUUCAUUAUUUCGAGCUGGAACACACUAACGCAGGGAAUCUGGAACUGCAUAUUUUUGCUUUAGAUUUCUUUCUCCAGCGCCGCGGGUGCCUGUGUGAGCGUGCUUGUGGGUCUUGUUAGCCGCUUGCUUGCUCCUCUCCGCCCACGUCGCCUCUCUGCAAUCUCCCCGUCUCGCCCCCCUUUUCUCCGCUAACGUUGUAUACACUCGAGAGAGAAGGGGCACUGAAAGACUCGGACACACACACAGCGCCUCCACGGCCGCUUAUCUGCUGUUGAGCACGACGGUGAUCCGCGUAUGUGUGUCUUCUGCUCUGGAGAGGAACGAGGACCAUAGAGAAGACCAAGAGUACAAAAAAAAAGGGACACACACACACACGCGCGAAGAUUGCGGGGGAGGGCUCAGCGGCUGCGUCGUUGCGUGUUUUGCCCUCCUCUGGGCCGUUGUGCUUUAGUGCGUUUGGGCCCGCGCUUCAAGAGAGGAGCCGCGCCCUCCUCCCUCCCCUCCCGGACAAAAAAAAAGAACGAAAAACAAAGAUCAUCCGCGGAAACUGAGAAAACAAACAAAAACGGUGCUGCAGUCGACUGGAACGUUGUCCCUCCCCCCUUCUCAUCAUUUCUUCUGUUGAAGUCUUUUCUGUAUUUGGCUUAGUGUUGGUGGCGGUAUGUGCGUGUACAUGGUUGGCUGCCGCACUCCUCUCAAUACCUUUGGUUCCCGUGCACACGCGUGUGCACGUGCGUCUUUCUUCUUCUUGCCUCCCAUGUAAGUGCUAUUUUCUUUUCGUCUUGCUACCCACGAGCCGAAGCCUCCACAUCGCUGUACAAGCUGAGCCUUGAAGUCGAUGGAGGCCUACGAGAUACUCGGCAUCCUCGGCGAGGGCACCUACGGCGUGGUUGUCAAGGCCCGAAGCCGCGUAACGGGGAAGCUGGUCGCCAUCAAGCGCUUUAAGCAGACAGAGCAGGAUGAGCACGUCCGCAAGACCUCCUCCCGCGAAGUGCGCAUGCUGCAGCUGCUGCAGCACCCCAACGUGAUCCGCUUAGAGGACGUCUUCCGCAGGGAGGGUAAGCUCUACCUCGUGUUUGAGUUCAUUGAUCAAACGAUCCUGCAGCUUCUGGAGAGCACCACGCGCGGUCUCCACCGCCGCGAACUGCGCCGCUACACCUACCAACUGCUGCGUGGUAUCGAGUUCUGCCACAAUCACAACGUCAUACACCGCGACGUGAAGCCGGAAAAUGUGCUCAUCGACGAAUCAGGACUGCUGAAGCUCUGCGACUUUGGCUUUGCUCGACAGACGUCGGCCAAAGGCAAGUACACAGACUACGUGGCAACGCGCUGGUACAGGGCGCCAGAGUUGCUCGUCGGAGACGUGGCCUACGGCAAGCCGGUGGACGUGUGGGCGCUAGGGUGCAUGUUUGCGGAGCUCUCCGAUGGGCAGCCACUCUUCCCCGGCGAGUCGGACCUAGACCAGCUAUGCCUGAUUAUGCAGACCUGCGGGCCAGUGCCGCAGCGCCUCGUUUUCAUCUUCAUGCACAACCCGCUGUACAACGGCAUCAGCUUCCCGCAUACCGACAUCCUGUACACGCUCAAGGAACGCUACCAUCGCGAGUCGAACGACUGGCUCGAGUUCCUCAGCUCUUGUCUCCACACAGACCCGGCGCAACGGCUGACGUGCACGGAGCUCAUGGAGCUCCCCUACUUCACGCGCGACGGCUUCCGAGAUCGCUAUGAAGCCGAGCUGCGGGCUGCAACGGGCCUGCCUCAGCUGCGGUCCACUCCUACGACGUCGGCGCCUUCGACACAGCGGCGUGCGCCGGAUCAGGCAGUCGCCUUAGGAGGCGACCUCAAGGCAGACACCGUGGUGUCUCCACACGAGCGCCGCUCGAGUGAGAUCAUUUCACCGAAGCUGCAGGGAGAGCAACCGCCCACGGUCAAAAACAGCUCAAGCGACACACACAUCUCGAAGACGGCGCUCAAGCCCGCCGCGCACGACGCCAACGCCGGCAAGGGCAAGGGAGCAGGUGCGCCAACGUUCACGUUGACGUCUCCACACAAGGCGGCGUCUGAGCAUCCCGUGCAGCUGCCGAUGAUCCUCAACAGUAACUCGGAGAGGGCCGUCGCUGCGGCGCUGACGGACUACUUGAAUCAGAUGCCCGCCUCUUCGAGCGCUGUGGUGUCGACACCAUUACAGGCCACUCCAGCAGAGGUGGCCGGGGGCUUUACCAACGCUGAUCUGCUCUCCCGCUCGUGUGGGGCGGUGCCGCCACCGCAGACAUCGCAGAUCACCAACCCAUCAACUACGCGAGAUAAAAAUAGGAAGCGGAACGUCGGUUUAGCAGAGACCGAGCUACACCGACCCAGCAGCGCAAGCAUCAGCGACGACACCGAGUACGCUGCGACGAUAGACAGCAGCAAGGGUGAACCGGCCAAGCACAUCAGCGACCAUCCACGGGCAUCGGCCACGCUUCCGCCCAACGGAGUUCUCGGUAGCGGCGGCUCUCACGAGCCGACGCGCGAAGGCGAAAAGACAAACGCGUCGCCACCGUUGCCGUCGCACGGGGUGGCAGAGAGCAGCAUGCGGGUACUCCUGACAACCGCGGCACCAGGAAAGGAUGAUGGCGAGACGGCGGUGCUGAGCCACCGACCUUUGAAGCCGGCGUCAGCGGACAAAGCCGCGGCAACGGCGGCCACGGCAUUUUCUUCGCCGACGCUCGCCGCUACCCACGGCGCCCCGCUGGCAGAGUGUCUGCAGGGCCUCCCCGCCCUGUCCCUGCACCUCCCGCGCCACUUGCAGCAGGAACGGCAGACACCAGCGGCCGAGCAGCCACAGUCGCACACCCCACUCUCCGCCGAGACCUCGAUAUCGUCUUUCCACGUCUGCAGGCGCAACCCACUUGCUGCAGCCUCGACGGAGAACGAUGACGUUUCUCGUGGUAAGGCAAACAUCGAGCCGGCUGGCUCGAGCGUCGCCAAUCCACGCCGCGGCCUCUCGAACUCAAGUGUCUCCACAGCCGCCAGCGAAACAAAGAAGCGCAAGUCCGCCAGACACAAGAGAGACACGAGCCGUCUACACGACCAGGCAGUGGGGCCCGUCAGCGGCAGCGCAUCGCGUCGCUCUGUCCCGGGGAACGCAUCGGACGUGGUAGCUUACCGCGCGGGAUUCGCCUCGGUGGUGAACUCUUUGAAGUCAACGGUGUCGCAAUCGCUCUCUUAUAUCUUGGGUCAACAGCAACGGCAGCCCUUGCUGUCCCCGGACUCACGCGGGGUCCACGCUGCCGACCCGCACCUGCACGGCGUUGGUGCAGGCCCGAGCGUGCCUGAUUCUACGCAUAACCGCAACGCCGAUGCAGCCGGCCCACAGCUGCGCAAGGAGCGGCGAUCUAAACCGUUGGCUGCCUCAACACAUGCUCUCCAGGGUAGUGAUCAGCGCCAUCGCCAGCAGUCGCAGCCGCGACUGGACGGACCACUGCACCCUGACGGCGGUGCCUCUCAGCGCGCCACGGCCACCUUGAUGGCUUUAUCAGCACUUCGCAACGUCUCCUUGCCGCCACCGACCAAGUCCGCCGGCGAUGCGGACAAGAGCAGCUACGGCCACCACACACGCUCGCACACCAACAACAACGGAGGCGAGACCGUAAGCCCCGUGGUCGGGGGGGACGGCAACGGCACCCAAACGUGCAUUGCAAGUCGCGCUCGGCGUCCUAUAGCUGUGUGCGCGGUGCACGGCAACAACCGCGAUAGCGACGAGCUGAUCUCGACCCGCCGAGUGCAGAAGAAGAAUGCCGUCGCGACACACGGCCGAACUGGCAACGGCGCUGUGGGGCCCAUUAGCUGCACAGAUAGCUCCACGACGUCUUCCUAUCAAGCGACCAGCAUCAUGUAUGGCGCGCCGUACCACCCCUUCACGAGGGCCUCAAAGAUGGACGGUGAGGUGGGCGGAGCCCCGCAGCGGCAGACCCUGCGGAGGCCCAAAAAGAAGAUUGCCGACAGCCGCGGCAGCGGUAUCGCUAACAUAACGAGCAGCAUUGGUCCCCGUCACUCGCUGGCACGUGCGCGACAAAUACAGCACCAGCCGCAACUCGCGAAAGAGGAUGGCGGCAGCGGCGAUGGCAAAACGCCCCAGUUCAAUGCCGCCGCAGCUGCAUCUCCCUAUACCAGCAGCUGACCAGAUUUGUGCUUCAAAUCCGACACACAGUAGUGCCCGGGCUUCUCUUUUUUUUUUGUUUUGCUUUCUGCUUUCCUUUUGUUGUCCUCCGAUACACAGGUGCCUCAUCCUCUCUCGCUCUCCCACGCCAUCCAGGGGCAGGGGGAGAGGCGCGUGCGUGUGUUGGCUGGCUCUUUCCUCGCACCUCGCUCUGUUCUCACUGUUCUGCUUUGUAUGGUAUCUUCGACUCUCGUUCUCUUUACUUCCCUGUCUUACCUUUGCGUGCGCAUGCGUCGCGCGCGCUCUCUUGUGUUGCUGAGGGGGUGGAAGGGGGGAGGAGCUCGCACGAGGACGCAAAACGCACAACGCAACACCGCCGCUACCACAGUCUAUCUUGUGCGCUGCUCUUCCCUUUCUUCUCUUUUUGGGUUUCUGGAGUGUUUCUCUUUUUCAUUACCUUCCUGCCUCGCUGUCGCCGGAGCUGGCGUGAGUUACAGAGAGGCCGAGAAGGCGCAUGCCCUAGUCCUCUCCCCUCCUCUCCUCACCGCACCACGCACACACGCUCACCCACAUUAUAUCAGUCUGUGCAGAAACGCUUUGUCUUUUUUUUUGGGUGGCGGUGGUCGUUGUGCUCUCUCGUCCUCGCGUUCCUUGUCGAGGGCUCGCUAAAGGCCUGCUUCACUGCCGCGUCCGUGCACGUGCAGGUCUGCCUCUCUGUGUAUGUAUGUGCAGAUGUCUUCUCGCGUUCCAUUCGCCUCCUUUUUCAUCACGGAUUCGGUAUGCGCGCGCGUGCCAUCGACUCUUUCUACCGCCUCUCUUCAUCUCUCCGGCGCGCCAGGCUUGCUUUGGUGCCUCAUUCCAACCCGCACGCGAGAGGCACGAACACAGCGCUUUUUGGCGAUGGAGAGAGGGAGGGAGGGAGAGAGGUGGUGGCGGAAGUGGUGUUGGUGGGGGGGGUUAGUGGAACAGACGAGACAGCUUCGUCCCCCCCACCCCAUCUUCUCUCUCUGUCCAAAGAAAAAGAUGCUGGCUUUUGGUGACGGUACUGGUGCGAACCCCAUGGGCUCUCCUUCUUACGUCUCUUUUUUACUCGUUGAUCACGUCUGUUGUGCAAAGAUUUUGACCCCUCUCUCCCUCUUUUCUCCAUCCCCUAAAGCCUCACGGCUGGGAUGGCGCAGAGAGCUUCUUAAUAACUCGACGAGCGAACAACUUCGAACGCACAGCAUGAACGAAGCAGCAGCAAGAAGGCGUCAAUCAGCGCCACGCGCAUGGAACACGUGUAUGCACGGACUCACACUCGAACGAACAUACGGCGGCAACAGCUCGCGAGGGAGCUGUGCGACAAACACAGCACGCGCUAAGUGUUCACCUCGCCCUCUAUCCCAACCCCCUCCUGCGGGGCGUGCUGAUGUACGUCUUUUGAGGCUCUUCUUUCAGCUCAGCCGUUUUCUGUCUCCUUAUCUUCACCGGGCACAUGUACGUGUGAAGGGCGUUUCCUGUGUAUGGUACGUCUUUAUGUAUAUGCCUGCGCCGUUGUUUAUGGGUGUGCGGGGGGAGGGUUGGCGGCACCGGCUCACGAGAUGGGAGAGGCGGUCGGGCGGCGACCUGCUUUGAAUGGAGGAAACAGGCAAGAGGUAUCCGUUGCAGUUGAAGGGCUAAUCAACGAGAGAUGUCAUUUCUUUGCAGUGUGCGAGAGGCAUGAGACACUUUAAUGGCAACGCGACUUGCGGCUUUGUGCGUGUAUGCUCGCGCACCUCUCCUUCUUUUUCUUCGACCUUUCUCAUCCACCGCUGCUGCUGUCUCACUCUCCUUCUCUGUGAGACCCCUUCCUCAUUGUGCGCGUGGAUGACCAUCCUUCUGUGCCUUUCGCUUCGAUGCCCCACGACGUCCCUCUACACUUUCCCGCCGUGCCAGCUGCUCCCCCCCUCUCUCUCCCUUUUUCCUUGUGUCGUUCCCUUCUCCCGCCCACCAUCCCCCCUCCCCCUAUGCUAACAGAUACACACAUCGCACCGGACUGUAGACUCGGAAAAAAAAAACAAAAGCAGGCGUCUCUCGACAUGCUUUUAUUCUCUUCAUUUUGUUUCACUUUGUUGGAAGGUCGCUGCUGCAGCUCUUUGUCCCUCUUUCCCUCCGUCUUAAUAGUGUCCACGGCUUUACUGAUGUGCUUAUCCCGCCCCGCCUGCCGACCGUCGCCGAUGUGUGCGUGUCUUUGCCGACUUUCUGCGCGCACCUCAGCGAUCUCUGCCUCUUGGCUCUCUUCUUUGCUUUGAAAUUUGCAUUCGCACUCGGGUGUCUCACUCUGUUUUUUUUUUUCCCUUUUCGUGUCGUUGCGUGCUUCCAUAUUUUGCUGCGCACAUGCAUCUGUAGGUGCGUGUGUGUGGUGUUGCGUGUGUGUGUGUGUCUGUGCGUGACGAGCAUGUCUUUGGGCGCGCUAAGCUGUAUGUAGAUAUCCUCCUCUUGUCUAGCUGUCGAUGUCGCCUCUUCUUUGUGCUUUCUUGCCAUGACUGUCUUCGUAAAUCUCUUCGCGGUUGUGUGUGUGCGCGUAGGUGCAGCUUCGACCCAUUUUUCUUUUCCCUUUUCGCUUUCCUUUCUUGUCUCCCUUUCACUCAUAUCUCAUGUAAGUACUCGAGUUUCUCUGUUUGUAGCGCCUUCUUCCUUCGUCUCCUUCGCUUUUUUUUUCGUUUUCUCUUGUCCUCUUCGGUGCUUGCGUUCGUGUGUGUGUGUGUGUGUACGCGCCUCUCAUGGGGGCCGUCUUGUGUUUGGUUGCGUAUGUAUGCUUGAGUGGUGCUUGGCAUCUCGGGCUGUGCAUCUUUGGAACCUGGUGCUGCAGUCAUUAAGAGAACGGAAAACAAGACGAGAACACGCGAGCACAGGUGUGAACAAAGGCGGUGCAUGCUGAUGUGGUGAUGAUCGACAACACCUAUAGAA